Molecule: small nucleolar RNA, 95 nt
Organism: Sander lucioperca (pikeperch)
Lineage: Eukaryota; Metazoa; Chordata; Actinopteri; Perciformes; Percidae
Gene: SNORD14
Rfam family: Small nucleolar RNA SNORD14
About the family: U14 small nucleolar RNA (U14 snoRNA) is required for early cleavages of eukaryotic precursor rRNAs. In yeasts, this molecule possess a stem-loop region (known as the Y-domain) which is essential for function.
Source: Ensembl
GCGCUGUGAUGAUGCUUUUUCCUGCCAUUCGUAGUUUCCACCAGAGGUCGUAACGGACCAAAGAUGGCCCAAACCUUCCUUGGAUGUCUGAGCGC